AAUCUCUCUCAUUGCAGGCUGAAGAGGACUGGCCUUUCAGUGGCCCUCGUGGAACGGUAGGAAGCUGAGCUGGACUCUCUGCCACAUCGUUCGGUUCCCACAACAGCCUGAUGAAGCAGCAGCAGAAAAAAUGGAAGCCAUUUUGGUUAACGGGUCACAUCUUAGCAGUUGGCAGCGUAAGAAGCGGAAGGAUCCACUGGUCAGAAAUGGAGAUUGAGGAGAAGCUGAGAGCACGGAGGGCUUCAGGGGAGAGCCUGUCCUUUGGAAAAGCGGGCAAUUUGCACUCGUGGUAGAUGAGUGGGGAGGCCGCUCAGUCUCUCUGCCCCUUUGCACAUGCUGCACCCGUUUAGUUUGACGUCGUGGAGAGCUCCUCCAGGCACGGGCUGUGUGAAAGGGUUUAAAAGUUUGGGGGCAUGGCUGGGGGUCCCCGCAUGAGGGGUGCUGUGUAGGCUCCCAUCUUUUCUGCCGGUCAUGCUGGGAGCCAACAGCACCGGCUCCUGACGUGGGGACUUGCCCUGUGCCAUGACGUGGGGACUCGCCCUGUGCCCUGCGCCCCGGUUCCUGCUGGUUCUGUGCCUUCUGGACUCAUUUCCUUUCCAGGGUCCGCAACCGCUUCCGACACAAUCACUAUUUUGGCUGCGGCCACGGCUUCAUUCGCUUCAGCUGCGAGCUUUUCUCAGCGCAGAGAGCACAGGGAAGCUGGGAGGAGUCCGCCUAGAUGGUCGUUUUCAGUGAGAGGAUUGGCAUGAAGAAUCCUUGGGACACAGGAAUCAAUCAAGACCUUUGGAUGCCCCUGCCUGCUCUGUCUCUAGAAGCCUCAAGCCCAGCAUCCCCAUGCCGACGUGCUCAUCUCUAGCAAAACACCAGCCUCUCAGCCCUCUCUCCAUAAAGGCCACUAGAAAGUACUGUGAUGCCAGGCUGCUCCACAUCCAGGCAGCCUGGGUGACCACUGCCCUUUAUGAGAAUCAGAAAAAGCUGUCUCCCGAGUAGUUGGAAUUACAGGUGCAUGCCACCAUGCCUGGCUAAUUUUUGUAUUUUUAGUAGAGAUGGAGUUUCACUAUGUUGGCCAGGCUGCUCUUGAACUCCUGACCUCAAAUGAUCCACCCGACUCGGCCUCCCAAAGAGCUGGAAUUACAGGAGAAGCUAAACGUUUUAAAAUAAGUAUAUUAUUUCUGAAUUACUAUAACAGACAUGGACUCCAUUUGAACAAGAUACUUAAUUCCAUCAAAAACUUGUCAAAAUAUACAAAUUUAGUCACAAGACACUUUACUACCAUCUACCAAAGCUGUAGUAAACACACACAUUUUCCAUCUUUGAAAUGAAAUAACGUAUAAUAAUGUUUUCCAAAAUAACAAAGAUGUCUGCAGUGAAUAGCACUCCCUUUGAUGUGGCAACUGGGUCAAUCGUGUUAACAACUGUGAAUUCAUCUUUUUAAGAAAUUCUUUUAUUGUUUCUUUUCUUUUCCGCGACAGUCUCACUCGUGUUGCCCCGGCUGGAGUGCAGUGGCGCUAUCUUGGCUCACUGCAGCCUCCGCCUCCCGGGUUCAAGCAAUUCUCAUGCCUCAGCCUCCUGAGUAGCUGGGAUUAUAGGCACGUGCCACCACACCCAGCUAAUUUUUUUGUAUUUUUAGUAGAGACGGGGUUUGACCAUGUUGGUCAGGGUGGUCUCGAAUUCCUGACCUCAGUUGAGCCGCCGGCCUCGGCCUCCCAGGAAGUGCUGGGAUUACAGGCAUGAGCCACCAGGCCCGGCCUUAUUGUUUCUAUUUGUAAUAAAUCUGUUCCCCUUGCUGCUGUCUCUGCGUUAGUUCUCCUCAUUUCUAGCUUGGGUGCUGCAGCAGCCUCUGACCGGUCCUUCUGUCUCCAGCCUGACUGCGUUUUCUCGCACCUGCUGGGCUGUCUUAGGGCCCCGAUGCCGGUGGCGUUUGCCAUUCUCCGUCUGCCUGAGGCGUCCUCCCUCCGUCAUCUGACAGGCAAAUGUUACAGCCCUUCAAGACUUAGGCAUUACCUUUCCCGCGCGGCCUUCCCUUCACUGUGCCUUACAAUCUUCUCCAUGGCAGGACAUAGUGAAACUCCGUCUCUACCACUCCGUCAGUACCUGCCACAGGAAAUGGCGGGUUUACGGAUUUGUUUAUAAGUUUAUUUCCCCAAUUGGUUGUUUUUCCAUCUUGCGGGGUUUACAUCGUCUCCUCCUCACUUGCGUGGCAGCCUGGACGCAUCUCUAUCACAGCACAUUACCUCGUUUCGUGACCACAGCGUAGUCUCUUCCCCAUCCUCAGACUGAGUUAGGGCCCCUUUGAGUCAGGUAUUUGCCUUGCUAAUCUUUGUGCCCUCUGUGUCUAAUACGGUGCUUGGUCCUGGUAGAUUUCUCCUUGCUUGCAUAACAUGUGUCUUCCUGGCUUAUUCGAUUUCUGGAAGUCUAGAACUUCUCCCCAGUGUUUCACCUGCCUGCUGAGUCAGGGCUCUCGGCCCGCUGGGGAGCAUUUUGCUGCACUUGUCAUUAGCCACAAAGCCACUAGGGGGCAGGGAGCCCCCAUCCUGCCUCAGAUCGGUGCCAAACCAGAACCCGGCAGCCUGCCUUCUGCACGGAAAUCAAUUCUCUAGGAGCUGAUUUGCUGAAAGAUCAUUUUGCAAAAUGGUCAACUCAGCAAAUAAUCGACUUGCUGAAUCUUUGAGGAGUUAUUUGCAGCUUCAGUUUUACUUAGAGCAAUCCCUGGAUGCUUAAUAUUUCAUUUAAGAAUGAGUGAGCCUUUUCUUCUCUAUUUUGGGGAAACAGUUUCUUGCUGAGCCUCUGCCUCUGUUAGUACCCCAGCGGGGAUGAACUGCAGUACCUGGCUUCGGGUUUUUGUCUUUUCAUUAUAAUGAGUUGGUUUUAUGUGCGUUGACCUACUGUAAAGGAAGGGUGGGGUUCUUCCAAAAUAGAUCCUCUUUCAAUGAGGAGACAGGUAGAGUGGGACAUGGGAAGGGCUUUGUCAGCUUUCCCCAUCAAGAUGUGUCCUGUGUGUCCCCAAAGCUCUUCUUGAGCCAUCCCAGCAUAACCAGGGUUUCCCUCAGGUUCAUAACAAGGUAGAGCAGUCCUCAAGGCUGGCGCAUGAAGACCAGUCCAGGGGGAGGGUGGAUCCCUCGGGAUGUGAUAGGCUGACAGCAGCUCCCCAAAGCCUGUGGUUUUGACUACUGUAGAGACUUCAUAUCUGAAGCAUGCCCCUCUACUUCAGCCACCCCCACUGCUCCUCCUUCUGCGGGGUCCCUUUGGAAAGCUUAGCACCACCUCAGACAUUUGGAAAACUAACUUGAGCUCCAGUCCCUCGAGGCCCUAGCCUCUGCAUCCUGUGAAGAGGGCCCUGCUGUGCAGAGCGCAGAGGGUCCCGCACUCACUUGGAUGAACCUCUAGGGCAUUCUGCUCAGUCUCAGGAGGGCAGACACUGUGGGACUCCACUCACAUGAGUAUCUGACGUUGCCAAAAAUCAUAGAAACAGGCCGGGUGUGGUGGCUCACACCUGUAAUCCCAGCGCUUUGGGAGGCUGAGGCAGGUGGAUCACUUGAGGUCAGGAGUUCAAGACCAGCCUGGCCAACAUGGUGAAACCCCGUUUCUACUAAAAAUACAAAUAUUAGCCGUGUGUGGUGGCGGGAACCUGUAAUCCCAGCUACUCGGGAGGCUGGGGCAGGAGAAUUGCUUGAACUCGGGAGGUGGAGGUUGCAGUGAGCCGAGAUCACACCAUUGCACUCCAGCCUGGGCGACAGAGCAAGACUCUGUCUCAAAAAAAAAAAAAAAAUCAUAGAAACGGAAAGUAGAACGGUGGUUACCCGGGCUGGGGUUCGGGGAGGUGAGUUGGGGUGUAAUGGGGAGAGUUUGGGUGCUGCAGGAUGAAAAGUCCUGCAGAUCUGGCACACAACCAUGUGAAUGUACUUUCUACUGUGGGCUAUACACUUAGAAAUGGUUAGGAUGGUACUAUUAAUGUUACAUCAUUUUUACCCUAGUAAACAUUUUUUAAGAAGUCUUCCUCCGUGUUUGACUUCCUUAUGAAGUAGAGACCAGGUAGUUUGGACACUAUGUUCUUUCACAAAAGGGAUUUCAUUUUGUGAAAUAUUUGAAAGCAUCGAAGUCUAGCAUUUCACGUUUUGCAAGCUGGGGAAAAGCAUUCAUUCCCUGAGAAGCAGCGUUGGUCUGUCAGGCUUGGAGUUCCCCGGGUUGUGGGUUUUAGGGAAGGGAAGGGAAGCGAGGAAGGACUUGUGAGAGGAAGUCCUAAAGGCCACUUAAGGGCACACAGAGGCCCGGAGCUGGCUUUGCUCAGAGCUUGUAGCGGCGCCACAAUCUCUGUCCUCUCAGGAACAGGAACUGGCUUGACGUCCUUUUCCUGCCCUAUCCAAGCCCCUGUUCUUGCAGCCCUUCUGAAGCUCAGCCUGGCACCGGCCCCGGCGCCCCAGCCCCUGGCCAAGCCUCUGCUGUCAUUUCUCCUCCCUCCUCUCAGUCUGCAGCUGCGGGACGGGCCGGGCUCCUCAGUUUCUGCUGUGUUGUGACCCCACGAGGCGCUCAGCACCCAGGGAAGGCGCGUGUGUCCCCGAUGCUGGCUCCUCCCUGAGCCCCGACGGCUCUCGAGGUUCUGAGCCUGUGGCCUGCACAGGGAACUUCCUCUCCGACUGCAUUUAUGCCUCUGUGGAUGUGAAGGCUAUUUCUAGAAAUCUCUUCCUUUGCAGAAACACCCGAAACCCUCCUGCCAGGAAGACCAGGGCCUGGGAAGAGGGUCGCUCUCCGGCCAUUCUCCCCUCACCCUCCUCACCUUCCUCACAUCCUGUGCCCUGGGGGACCAGCAGCUGCUUCCACCCAGGUGAGAGAUGGAGGGAUAGAGCCAGGUGGAUUGCGGAGCCUCGGAGACUGUGGGACGCCGUGGGACCCCAUGGGACACGACCGCAGUGCAUGUGUGACAUGUGCACUCGUGUGUAGAUGUGUGUGCACUGGUGCAUGGCUGUGGGGGAGGAUGGGCUUGGCACCGGGAAGGCAGCCUGCUCAGCCAUGGGAGAGGAGGCUGGGUUGAAUGGCAGGGUUGAAUGGCAGAGUUGAAUGGCAGGGGCCCUGGGAAGCUUUCCUCCUGGUCCAAAGCGUGUCUCCCCAGCCUGCUGGGGAGUAGAUUCGGCAGGAUGGGGACAGAGGCAUAUUCCCAGACAUCUAUGAGAGUGGCUGUCCUAAAAGAAGGCGUGUCGGGGAGUGGGUGUGAGCCCUGAAGAGGAGGAGGGCUGAGACUGGCAGAAGGGAGGAAGAAGCAGGCGGAAGCAGCCGGUCAGAUGCCCCAUGAAGCUAGAUGGUGCCGCAGAGCAGCCCCCAGGAGGAAGCCAGCGGAGCUCCUCCCGCAAAGCAGGGGGUGGGGGAUGCUGAUUUUUCCACGUCUGCUUUUCUGAUCUUUCCUGCCCCUUGCACAGUUAGGAUUCUGUGAACUGGGCAUUGGAGGGAUUGGAGGGGUCAAGACCUUACCAAAAGCAAUAUUUCUGAUUUCACCUACAUUUCAGCCAACCUGGUCCUCAGCAGUUAACCUCUUCCCUUCCUCUUGAUGGUUGCCCUGCUGGGCUGGGUCUAAGGUCUUCCCCACGCUGGGCUCUGGAGGCAUCUCCAACCACCCUGCUCUGUAAGUGGGAACUGCGAUUAGAUGUGGGAUGAAUCCCCGCAUGGCUGGAUGCUGUGCUCAGAUGCCUGAGUCCACGUUUGCCUUGGGCUGUUUCCUGAGAAGGAGGCAGAGGCUGCCUUUACAGUCUUCAGUGAAUUAUAGGAAGAACGCUCUCUUUUUCUCUCAGUUGCUCUGCUGGGGUCUCCAGAGUGGCCUGGGAAAUUGAGCAGAGGGAAAUGUGGGCUGGCAGAGCGUGAGUGAGGGUGAGUUUGGGUACCUUUUUGUCCUUAAGUGCACUUUCUACAUGUUGGGGUGAAGUGCUACUGGCUGGGAAGCUGUAUGUGUGGUAGGAGUGUGCAUGUGCGUGUGUGUAUGUGGGUGUGUGUGUGUAGGUCCUGACAUCAUGUGGAGCUGCAGGCAGGAGUCCAGCCAAGACUCAUUGGUUUGGUCAUACUCUGCUGGGGAACCAUGCAAGGCUGUGUCGCUUAAUUGGGAAAGAAAUUUCUUUCUUCUUCAGACCUGUGGGAGGCCUCUGCUUCCUUCAGCUUGCUGUUUUCUCACUAGUGUCUUUUUUUCUUAAAUUAAUUUACAGAGACAUCUCACUUCACUUGCAUAUAUAUGUGUGUGUGUAUGUAUAUAUGUAUAUAUAUGUAUAUAUGUAUGUAUAUAUGUAUAUAUGUGUAUAUAUGUAUAUA
RNAcentral lists this long non-coding RNA (6288 nucleotides) under Homo sapiens (human). RNAcentral describes it as "HSALNT0344091". The stretch from base 3473 to 3589 matches the Rfam family "Metazoan signal recognition particle RNA". The record is from RNAcentral. Lineage: Eukaryota; Metazoa; Chordata; Mammalia; Primates; Hominidae.